RNAcentral lists this long non-coding RNA (5207 nucleotides) under Sus scrofa (pig). Its description in RNAcentral is "lncRNA (ENSSSCG00005006073.1)". Lineage: Eukaryota; Metazoa; Chordata; Mammalia; Artiodactyla; Suidae. The record is from RNAcentral.
UUUUUUUUUUUUUUUUUUUUUUUUUUUUGUCUAUUAUGGCUGCACCCAAGGCCUAUGGAGGUUCCCAAGCCAGGGGUCGAAUCUGAGCUGUAGCUGCCAGCCUACAGCACAGCCACAGCAACAUGGGUUCCAAGCCAUGCCUACAACCUACACCACAGCUCAUGGCAAUGCUGGAUCCUUAACCCACCAAGUGAGGCCAGGGAUCGAACCUUCAUCCUCAUGGAUGCUAGUCAGGUUCGUUAAUUGCUGAGCUGUGACGGGAACUCCCAUCAGAGGACUUUUUAAGCAGGGGGCAUGUUUCAUAGUCAUGUCCUGAGAUUCUUAGGGGCCCCUGUGGGUAUAUUUUGUGGUUCCCCCAAAAGCAGCCUGCCCCUUCGUCUCUUAGACUUCAAUGUAAAACUAAAACCUAUCACUGGAGAGAACAUUUAGGUCAGAGAAAUUCCAGAUGAAGGGGUGGGGAAGGCAGAUUUGUUGUUUGGGAGGUAGGUAAGAAGUGCCCCUUAUGGUAGAGCCAGCCAGUAGUCGUGACUGGGCUGGGGGCUUGAAAGGAGUGGCUUCAAAAGCAGAGUGGUUCUUCCACUGGGGAAUACAAAGGUCAGGAAGCUGAGAACUGCAGACUUUCACGCUGUGUUUACCAUGCAUGAGGCAGAGUUCUUAUAGGUGGCAGCUCUAAGACAUAACUGUAGCCGCCUAUAAGGUGAGUAGUUAUCAUUCCCAUUUUACCGAUGGAGCACAGACAGAUUAAGUCACUUGCCAAUCAGCUACUGAGUGGUAGAGCCAGGAUUUGAAGCCAAGAAAGAAGGGGAGGGAGUUCCAGAGGCUGUGCUCUUAACCCUUUCAAGUGAGGAGAAUGAUAAACCCCACUGCCAUCCUCACCCACCCCGUGCCUCCCAUCCUAGAGUGUCCUGAAUAUCAGGGGACACAUAUGACAUCUCACUUCUCUGGGGUCAGCCAUCUGACUACCCCUCCCCCACCUAGGGUAGAUUCCUACAGUAGAGUUGACCCGUUAGCUUCAUUCAGACAGGAUUUUAACAAGUGGUGCAUUCAGGCCUCCCCACCCAGGACCAAGACAGAAGGUGGGUACCAGGUAAGGGCCAGGCUCCAGGACUGCAGUGAGAAGUGGCUGCUGCCAGUGAGGGAGGGAGGAAAGAGCACCACAGAAGCAGUUAGGGAGUUCCCAUUGUGGCACAGCGGUAAGGAACCUGACAAGUAUCCAUGAGCACAAGGGUUUGAUCCCUGACCUCGCUCAUGGGUUAAGGAUCUGGCAUUUCUGUGAGCUGUGGUGUAGGUCACAGAUGCGGUUCAGAUCUGGCAUGGCUGUGGCUGUGGCUUAGGCUGGCAGCUGUAGCUCUGAUUCAACUCUUAGCCUGGGAACCUCCAUAUGCCACAAGUAUGGCCCUGAAGAACCAAAAAAAAAAAAAAAAAGGCAGCUUAAAAAAUUGCAUGAUUUUUUUUUAGGGCAGUAAAGGCUCUUUACAGAUGAUGAGUCCUAGGUGCUCAGAAGGGCAGAGCCAACCUACGCAGGGACCGAGGGACAAUCCAUAGCUAGGCGUGAAGGGGCAACAGGGAGGUGAUCUCAGAGCCAGCAGUGAAGACAGAGGCAAGGGUCAGAAGUGGAGUGAUGGGGGUCUGGGGAAGGAGAGCCCCCCACCCCCCAGCCCAGGCAGGGCAGCUGUAGGGAGGAGGAACGUGGUUGGGCUUUGGUUUCACAAAAUGAAGCCUGGAUAGGGUGGGGUCUGCCCAUCCUGAUGGAUGGGAGUGUAGGGUCCCUGGCUUCUUUGCUGCUCCCUGCCACUCUAGCUGCUGGGCUCCUUAGUUUGUGCAAAGAUGGGAAAGUAAGAGGAAGGAAACACAGGCCAGAAGCAUGAGCAAAAACGUGAAUGUGGCCAGGGCCAGGCAGACACUCAAGCCCCUUGUCCCCUCUCAGACCUCACUGGCUCACACCUUGGGUGGGUGUGGGCAGGCACCCAGCCUUGGGGUUCUGUGGGGGGAGGUCAAGCUGAGCGGCGUGUUUGACCCCUUGGAAGCCCCAUCCCUGGUCCCUGGACUUGGGUUCUGAGUGUGGUUUUGCACAGCAUCCGCUCCGAGCUUUGUAGGCAUGGGUGCUUUGGGUCUGACCUACCUGGUGCUGGGCUGUGGCUUUGGGCCUGGCCUUCAGAACAUUAGAGGCCAGCUCUGUUUAGCCCCUGCAUCUGAAUUGCCUCAGUCUGACCAUAAUUUCCUCAGCCAGGUCCUGAGGUGGGGCUUCCCAGGCCUGAUCCAAGCUUCCCCAUGCUGUUCAGAGAUGAGCAUGUAUGAGAAAUUUCCCCAGUUUGAGCUUUGGGGAGAGGCUGUGUUACAGUCAGGCUUGAACCCCCAGCGUCAGGCAGCACCAGGCACUGAAGGGCUGGAGGAAAGCUGGGAGCCAGCAAAGAAGCACAGUGGUGUGGACACCUGGAAGGUGCUCUGGACUUGGACUUGGUGGGCAUAUCCCUAGAGGUCCCUUAGUUGCAUUUGCCAUGGCUGACCCCUGAUGGCACUGCCCUUCUCAGUUCUUAGGCCUCUUCUCCCACCCCAAGGGCCCGCCAGUUGGCCAUCCUGCGUGGUGGGUCUAAGGGCUUUUUUUUUCACGAGGGGCUGGAGAUGCAGGCAGGCCCAUGAUGGGCCCUGGAAGAGCAGGGACCCAGCCUGGACAGGCAGGCAGGGCAGGGCUCCGUGGAGGAAAAGGAACUGGGGGCUCCUCUGAGCAGGCAGAGCUGGAGGCUGGGUUUAGGCUUAAAAUAGUCACUUCUUAGCUGUUUUGCAUCUUAUCCACAGUAACAUGUCACAAUCCCAGGCUUCCCUUCAACACUCCCUGAAGGAAAGCACAAAGCUGAGAGCGGAAGCCGCUGCAUGGAGAAGCUGAGUGCAUCAGAAACCCUGCAGAUAAGCCUGAUGCAUAGGCUUUGGCACAGGCCCCCGGGUGCUGCAGAGGAGUGGGGGCUGGGGAGGAGCUCAGGGGUUAACCAUGAGGAGUGGGUACGGCUGGAGACCCCAGAUGCCCUGGGUGGGGUCAAAGAACUCCAAGUGGUGUGGUGUGCUCAAGACAACUGAAAUUGAAAUAAUUUGAUGAUGCGUGACAGAGAAGGGAACUCAGCCUCCACCAGUUAGGGCACCACCAGUAAAGAAGGCAGGUCAGGGCCUAUGAGCCCCAUCAGUUUAGAAAGCUGGAGGGUAGGCCAAGGGGUGUAGGGGGUGAAGGAACCGAAAUGGGGAGGGAGAGUUGGGGAGGGCAGCAAAUCACAAGUGACAGCAGCAGGGACGGGAGAUCCAGGGCCAUCAUCGCACACCCCUGUCCAGUGGUUUGUCCUGUGUCACCUACCCUGCAGGGCUACUAAAGGCUUCAUGUCCCCUGAAGCAGCCUCACUUUGGCCACAUGUGGCCUCUUGGGAGCAAAGCAGAGGGAGUAAGGUGAUUAGGAAAUGAAACCAGGAGUGCCAGGGUGUGUUUGUAGAACCCCAAGAGUAUUGAUGCGAUUUACUCUAAAUCUCAAAACUUAAAGUGUUCAUUUUCUGAAGGUUCCGAGGAAAGAGGGUUGAGGCACAGUGGAAGGGGAGAGGAUCACACCUCACACCCUGGGAGCUCUUUUAUUGAAGGCACCCUUCCCCAUGCGGCGGGACCGGACAGGGUGGGAGGGCCAAGUGGCUGUCGGUGUGGACUCUACUGGGCCGCAAGCUGUUUCGCGGAUGGACCCCAGGGAUACAGCGGUAACUUUAGCCAGUCUGUGACCCACCCAGCCGAACAGGGCCACCCUGUCAGGCUGCCCCCCAACCCCAUCCCACCCCACCCCACCCCACCCCUGCUGGUCCACAGGCUGAAGCCACCGGAAGGUUGGGGAGGCAGGCAUCUGGGCAAGAGAGAAAAAAUCCAGGGUGAUGAAAAGCAGAGAGCGUGCUUGCCGGCCAAGGUGGUUUGAGGGGCUGUUUCAUUAUUUUUUUUCUGGCCUCCUCGCCAAAUGGCCUACACCCUCCCUCCUCUUCCCAGCGCAUGACGGAUGCCCUUAGUGGCCCUGUGUGAGGUUCUGCUGCUGUUCACAGUGUAUCACGUGUCUUCAUAAACAACCUUGCGUGCGUGCGCGUGCGCAUGCGUGCGUGCGUGUGCGUGUGUGUUGACGUGCCCAUGUCGUUUGUCUGCUGGCUUCCUCCAUCCUUUGAGUUUUUUUUCAGUUCUCCUAUAAUUUGACUGGUGUUCUCUCAUCAGAGCUUUUAGAUUGAUGCUGUGGUCUGGUGCUGUAUAAACCUUUUAAUUUUGUUUUAACUUCUUCCUUGCCCUUCUUCACCCUCAACCCUACUCCCCCCCAUCCCCCCACACUCNNNNNNNNNNNNNNNNNNNNNNNNNNNNNNNNCCCCCCCUUGCCCACACUCUUGUCCUCUCUUUCUCUCUCUCUACAUAUAUAAAUAUAUAUAUAAAUCUUUUCUUCUUUUGUCAUUCAAUCAAAUUCCAACAACCCAACCAGGGCCAGUCAAAUCCACCACAGUCUCGCGCUGAGCUAGGAAUAAAGUUCACGUAAUCACAUGAGAGUGGAGAAAACAGUCCCCCAUCCGGCAGGAUGCUGAACGGGCUACAUUAAAAACAAACCUCUCUCUAUAUAUAUUUAUAAAUGAGAACUGUUGGAUGACACCUUUGACAUAUCAGCCAAUAUCAAUCAAGCUGAAGACUCCAGACACUCUGUGACUGUCGCAUUUCUUCAAGGAAAGUAUAGCGUCUAUGGAGUUCAGAGGGCACGUGUUUGGGGGAAAAAAUAUAUAUAUAUAUAUAUGACAUAAAGAAGAAGAAGAUGAAGAAAAAUGAGAAAAACAAAACAAAAAAGGCAACUUUCAAACAAAAUCACUUGAGACAAGAUGGGGAGGCUGCAGGGCUGGGAACUGGGAAGAGCCGCUGCUUCCCAAUCCCAGGGCUUUUUCAGCCCGUGGGCGCCUGAGGCAGGCUGGGGCAAGCGGUGUGGUGGGACCUGGUCCCCAGGGGGCGGCUGGGAGGCCGCCACUGAGCAUCUCUAUCUGUCAUUCCUUUAGCUAUUUAGGGACCAAAGGACCAAACUUUUUAUUGCAGAUGUGUAGCUCUAGGUCAAAUAGAGGGGAGAACCGAGGAGAACCUCCUCUUGCCUCAUGGCUGUUCUUGAAACAGCUUAGAGCGAUUCUAUGAAAAAUGUAAUUUAAAAAAGACAAAAAAAAAAAAACAAAAACAAAAAA